RNAcentral lists this ribosomal RNA (904 nucleotides) under Apseudocercosporella trigonotidis. RNAcentral describes it as "eukaryotic LSU rRNA". It matches the Rfam family "Eukaryotic large subunit ribosomal RNA", at positions 32 to 965 of the family's 3401-position model. The record is from RNAcentral. Lineage: Eukaryota; Fungi; Ascomycota; Dothideomycetes; Mycosphaerellales; Mycosphaerellaceae.
ACUUAAGCAUAUCAAUAAGCGGAGGAAAAGAAACCAACAGGGAUUGCCCUAGUAACGGCGAGUGAAGCGGCAACAGCUCAAAUUUGAAAUCUGGCGCAAGCCCGAGUUGUAAUUUGUAGAGGAUGCUUCUGGGUAGCGACCGAUCUAAGUUCCUUGGAACAGGACGUCAUAGAGGGUGAGAAUCCCGUAUGUGACCGGCCCGCACCCUUUACGUAGCUCCUUCGACGAGUCGAGUUGUUUGGGAAUGCAGCUCUAAAUGGGAGGUAAAUUUCUUCUAAAGCUAAAUACCGGCCAGAGACCGAUAGCGCACAAGUAGAGUGAUCGAAAGAUGAAAAGUACUUUGGAAAGAGAGUUAAAAAGCACGUGAAAUUGUUGAAAGGGAAGCGCCUGCAACCAGACUUCGCGGCAGUGUUCCGCCGGUCUUCUGACCGGUUCAUUCUCUGUCGCGAGGCCAUCAUCGUCUGGGCCCGCCGGAUAAGACCUUAGGAAUGUAGCUCACCUUCGGGGGAGUGUUAUAGCCUAUGGUGAUGCGGCGAGGCUCGGGCGAGGUCCGCGCUUCGGCAAGGAUGAUGGCGUAAUGGUUGUCGGCGGCCCGUCUUGAAACACGGACCAAGGAGUCUAACAUCUAUGCGAGUGUUCGGGUGUCAAACCCCUACGCGUAAUGAAAGUGAACGGAGGUGGGAACCGCAAGGUGCACCAUCGACCGAUCCUGAUGUCCUCGGAUGGAUUUGAGUAAGAGCAUAGCUGUUGGGACCCGAAAGAUGGUGAACUAUGCCUGAAUAGGGUGAAGCCAGAGGAAACUCUGGUGGAGGCUCGCAGCGGUUCUGACGUGCAAAUCGAUCGUCAAAUUUGGGUAUAGGGGCGAAAGACUAAUCGAACCAUCUAGUAGCUGGUUCCUGCCGAA